AUACGGAGGAUCCGAGCGUUAUCCGGAUUUAUUGGGUUUAAAGGGAGCGUAGGCGGACGCUUAAGUCAGUUGUGGAAGUUUGCGGCUCAACCGUAAAAUUGCAGUUGAUACUGGGUGUCUUGAGUACAGUAGAGGCAGGCGGAAUUCGUGGGGUAGCGGUGAAAUGCUUAGAUAUCACGAAGAACUCCGAUCGCGAAGGCAGCUCACCGGGCCGGAACUGACACUGAUGCUCGAAAGUGCGGGUAUCAAACAGGAUUAGAUACCCUGGUAGUCCGCACAGUAAACGAUGAAUACUCGCUGUUUGCGAUACACUGUAAGCGGCCAAGCGAAAGCGUUAAGUAUUCCACCUGGGGAGUACGCCGGCAACGGUGAAACUCAAAGGAAUUGACGGGG
This 393-nucleotide ribosomal RNA is filed under the name uncultured bacterium. Its description in RNAcentral is "partial 16S ribosomal RNA". It matches the Rfam family "Bacterial small subunit ribosomal RNA", at positions 523 to 918 of the family's 1533-position model. The record is from RNAcentral.